ACUCCUACGGGAGGCAGCAGUGGGGAAUAUUGCACAAUGGGGGAAACCCUGAUGCAGCCAUGCCGCGUGUGUGAAGAAGGCCUUCGGGUUGUAAAGCACUUUCAGUAGGGAGGAAGGUAGUGUAGUUAACACCUGCAUUAUUUGACGUUACCUACAGAAGAAGCACCGGCUAACUCCGUGCCAGCAGCCGCGGUAAUACGGAGGGUGCGAGCGUUAAUCGGAAUUACUGGGCGUAAAGCGCAUGCAGGCGGCCUGUUAAGUCAGAUGUGAAAGCCCGGGGCUUAACCUCGGAAUUGCAUUUGAAACUGGCAGGCUAGAGUCUUGUAGAGGGGUUAGAAUUUCAGGUGUAGCGGUGAAAUGCGUAGAGAUCUGAAGGAAUACCAGUGGCGAACGGCGGCCCCCGUGGACAAAGACUGACGCUCAGAUGCGAAAGCGUGGGAGCAAACAGGAUUAGAUACCCCUGGUAGACUGUCA
RNAcentral lists this ribosomal RNA (474 nucleotides) under uncultured bacterium. RNAcentral's name for it is "bacterial SSU rRNA". It matches the Rfam family "Bacterial small subunit ribosomal RNA", at positions 335 to 802 of the family's 1533-position model. The record is from RNAcentral.